RNAcentral lists this ribosomal RNA (217 nucleotides) under uncultured bacterium. Its description in RNAcentral is "partial 16S ribosomal RNA". It matches the Rfam family "Bacterial small subunit ribosomal RNA", at positions 1285 to 1500 of the family's 1533-position model. The record is from RNAcentral.
GUCUCAGUUCGGAUUGCAGGCUGCAACCCGCCCUGCAUGAAGCCGGAAUCGCUAGUAAUCGCGGAUCAGAAUGCCGCGGUGAAUACGUUCCCGGGUCUUGUACACACCGCCCGUCACACCAUGGGAGUCGGGAAUGCCCGAAGCCAGUGACCCAAGCGAGAGCAGGGAGCUGUCGAAGGCAGGCCGGAUAACUGGGGUGAAGUCGUAACAAGGUACC